CAUAUAUUUUCUGAAUCGUAAACGUAUGUUUCGUAAACGCGCUAUUCUUGUUUCAGAUAUUCCACAACACACAACGUAAGAAAAAAGGGUCACCGACCAGCGUCGUCGCGAACCAAUGAAACUACUUCAAAGUCACGUGAUUCUGUUUAUCCGAUUCCACGUUCCAGAUGAACGCUAUUCAGUAACGUUGGACGAUAGAGUUUAUGUUUACUUGCGACUGAUACCAGUGGAGAAAAGUGAGGUUAUAUUCGAAAGCGCCAAACGGUAAUACGGAGAACUAUUAUCGUUCCAUUGGUGUUUUCGCGGGCCAGCUACCAUAUUGCUAAUUUCUCCUUGGAAUGUUCGUUUCCUUCGAAUUAAACCAAGUAUACGCACAUCCCUCCCAAGACACAACAAUCUACGGAAGGUUCUAAGAAUUAUCUUACCUGUCCACGGGUGGUGCCCCUCGCGCGGCCCCAUCCCCUUCCACGCGCCCAGACCGAGAGAGAGGCACGUCAGUGUAACGCAGAGCGUAGAGCAGAACGGACCGAAGCGUCUGCGUCGUCGUGGAACGCGCAUCCUAACGGUACGGGAGUGGGGGAAGCUCUUGGACACGUACAGUGGCCUGCGGACAAGCGCACGUUAACGCGAGGAACGUCAUUGGUGUAGCGGUAAGUUGUAUUUUCAGUGUCUCGGUUUAUUCGUUUUAUUGUAACAACAACUCAUGAUAAAUAAGAAGCGAAAUAAUCUUUCGUACGAAACAUUGAAAAGUGAGUAGGGACAAGUAUGAUACACAUUCGGUAACUAGAAAAAUGACUUUUCGAAUCGAUCCAAACACCAAAUCCAGAAGCAAUAUUUUCACCGGAGUCGUGCGUCCAAGAUUCGCCGUAUAGAUCGAUAACGUCGCGCCUUAUCUACAAGUACGAGACACAGUCGGUAACUAGAAAAAUGACUUUUCGAAUCGAUCCAAACACCAAAUCCAGAAGCAAUAUUUUCACCGGAGUCGUGCGUCCAAGAUUCGCCGUAUAGAUCGAUAACGUCGCGCCUUAUCUCCCAAUCGUAGCCAACGUUCGGGCCACGUUCUAACGUCGUAUGACGCGCAAUUACCGUACAAUCACGAUUACGAUCGCUGGCAACCAAUAGCGGUUUUUGUUUACUCACAAGUGUAGAACGCAUAAUCGCGAAGCAAUUACGCGUCCAGUAUGCCGUGCGUCCGCUUAAACGCUGAUUACUCGACUCGCCCGAUACGAGCUGUGUAAUUGCGCUCGCUUUCUUUUUUCUCUCUCUCUCUCUUACCUACAGUUUCAACGUCGUUAUACGCGUUACUGUCGUCGUGUCGACGACGUACAGCGGUUGCCAAACGAUUGCACACGGUGUGUUUAUUAAAAUAUUAAUAGGUAUUGAAGCAUCGAAAUAUUCGAAUACGGAGAAAUCGAGGCUUGUUCGAGAGACGCGAACCGUUGGCAGCUGCACCGAAUCUACGCGUUCCGAUAUUCACGGUGUGUAUCGGUACGCAUCGCGGUGUCCUUAUCGAACGCAAGCAACGGCAUAACGGAUUCAAGGAGAAGUAGAGGGGAAAAGAGAGAGCGAUUAUGGGAAGGGUCGCGGUGGCAAAAGACGGCUGUGAAUAUCGGAGCAUGCACGCACCCUCGGCCGAGGAGAAGAUUCGAUUCCGACGGGCGUCGGCACGUCUCCGCUGAGUCGUAUGCCGAGCAUACCCGCGAGAAUGUGCUCGUUUCCCCGGCUGCCAUCUUGGUUUUGCGUGAUGUCACAGCGUGGCCUACUUCCGAGCGCUCCACGUGCAAGGGUCGUCGGACCCUGUUCUCCUCUAGCCCCCUUUUGCCUAGACAGAGCGCUGUUGCUGUCUCUAAAGACCUACCAAAUGCUCUAGCGAACCCUCCUCCCUUGCGGAGCCAACCAGCGCCCAGGAUUCCUCCGCACCCGACUCUCUAUUCGCUUCCACCGCCGCCCUGUCGAUUCCUCUUCCUCUUCCUUUACCUACGCUCCCCUUCUUCCAAUUCUUUCGUCCUCCGCUUCUGCACGCUCCAAGCUUUUCGUCCAAGUCUUUCUCGACUUCCCUCUCGUCGCUUUUUCAUCGAUUCAUUUAAUUCGACGAUCAACUUUAUAUACAGUCAGCGUAACAAGUAUUAGGUUGUCCCGAAAGUUUCUUUCGCUUUAUUAAUAAGUAAUACAUGCACAAUAUUUGAGCCGUUUAUUUUGAAAGUGGCCCAACCUCGUUUAUCUUCGAAUCGAGAUAUUGAAGGGUUUGCGUUUCAAUGAAUUUAAAAAUAUACGUAUAGGAUACUAAUGUGUCGUACUGCUCGAGUGUAUCUAAGGGUGUUAAAUUUAUAGUUCCUAUUAAAAUAGGGCCAAUUGUUAAGUGAAUAAUAUGCGUUUUCAUAUCAAGAAUGGAGUUGGGCCACUUUCAAAAUUAACAACCAGAUUCGUUAUAAAAUUUGAAGGUGCCCAAAGUCCAUUCAGCAUCGUUUAAGAUGCUGCAAAUUGAAAAAAAAAAGUUUAUUAUUAUUAUAUUAUUAAGAACUACUGGAAAUUAUCUCUUUCCAGUACUGUAGUUCUUCCAACGUGUAUUUUUACUCUGUUCGCUCUCUCACAAUUUGCUAAUCAUCCUAGCUAUCAUUCCAUCUAGUGAGAGUGAAUUGAAGUAGACGUGUGUAGUACGCGAAGCGCGGCAGGUUCAAAUGAAGAAAGCCUACUUUCUUUACAUAUAUAUAUAAUACGUAACAGCAUUCGUAAAUAAAUAAUUCACCGUUGUAAAAUUUAAGUGUAGGAUUCGAAUGCGAAUUCCAGGCCCUGCGAAAGGUCGCGCCGGCCCUGAUCGCACACGAGAUAACGAUGCACGCGUGGGUACGCCGGUUUUCCAAUUCGACGGCCACCCACUUUUCCCGAGUCGAGCGGAAGAAUCCCAAAAAGGGUCGACGCUCGAUUUAUAGCGCUACUUUCGAUCUUACUCCGCGUGUGUCUUUUCGUCUCCCGACCACCGUUGCGCGUUCCUUAAUCGUCGACGAGAGUCUCUCCGUGCUCGAGGUCGACAAUCAUCUCGGACUCGACGCUUGGCACAUUUUUUUUCCCGGCUCGAACGUAACGGCCGCGCGUCCGUUGUUGCGAAAGAAUGGAAUCGCGAAUACGCGUUUCCCGCGCCGCGUAAUUACCCGGACGCGUUGAAAACGUCGAGGAUCUAAUCGAAUCAGCCUCGUCGCUGGCUUCCAUCGGAAGUAUAUUAGCGCGCGACGAAUGAAACAAAAAUGUUUCUCCGCGAGCCAGAUGGGUGAUGGAAAUGUAAUUGCGGUUGGGCGUCCAGUCCGUCCGCAUCGAUCGCGGGCCGCAGUUCGUAAACUAACCGGCGCGCCGGGUUCCAGGUCACUGGGUCAACCCUUCCAUCGAUCCAACCCCUCUAUUGAAAAUUCGCCCGCCUCGAGACUGUCCUCGUCCUCGCCGCUGAAACCUACCCACCUCGCCGUUGCAUUCGGCCCUUUCGAUCGUACUCCCUUCUCUCCUCUUUCGCAUCCAGCCGCGAUACUAAUUAUUUACGAGUCCUCC
Molecule: long non-coding RNA, 3537 nt
Organism: Hylaeus volcanicus
Lineage: Eukaryota; Metazoa; Arthropoda; Insecta; Hymenoptera; Colletidae
Exons: 3
Source: RefSeq, a predicted model, not a curated record